CUUGCAUCAUUGUAAAAAUGAUGCAGGAUCGACUAUGUCGAAUAAAAUUCUAGGUAGAAUUAUGAUAAUGACAUUGUCUGCCUAUGUGUCUUGACCAAAUUACGUGCCAGCAGUCGCGGUAAUACGUAGAAGACUAGUGUUAUUCAUGUUUAAUCGGUUUAAAGGGUACCUAGACGGUAAAUCAAGCCUAAAAUUAAAUGAAGGGACUAAUUUACUAGAGUUACUUAUGAGGGGGUAUUAAAGUACUGCUGGUGUAGAGAUGAAAUUCUGUCAUACCUCUUUUCAAUAGAAAAACAAUGGCACAGGUAUAGGCGAAAGCAUCCCCUUAUGUGAUAACUGACGUUGAGGGACGAAGGCUUUGUGUAGCGAACAGGAUUAGAUACCCCAGUAGUCAAAGCAGAAAAUGAUGAAUGUCAUAGAUUAGAUAAAUAAGUUUAUUCUAUAAAUGAAAGUGUAAGCAUUCCACCUCAAGAGUAAUUUGGCAACAUUGGAACUGAAAUCAUUAGACCGUUUCUGAAACCAGUAGUGAAGUAUGUUGUUUAAUUUGAUGAUCCGCAAAAAACCUUACCACAAUUUGAAUAUUUAUAUUUUUUUAUUGUUUUCUUUUUAAUUUUCUUCUGAUUUGAUUUUUCUAAAGAAAAAAAGAAAAAAAGAAAAAGAGGCGAUAUGAUAUAUUUACAAGCGUUGCACGGCUGUCUUCAGUUAAUGUCGCGAGACUUUGGUUAGUUCCAUUAAAUUAACGUAAACCCUUACUUUAUUUUUAUAUAGA
This 769-nucleotide ribosomal RNA is filed under the name Hypogymnia imshaugii. RNAcentral's name for it is "partial 12S ribosomal RNA". It matches the Rfam family "Bacterial small subunit ribosomal RNA", at positions 388 to 1125 of the family's 1533-position model. The record is from RNAcentral. Lineage: Eukaryota; Fungi; Ascomycota; Lecanoromycetes; Lecanorales; Parmeliaceae.